RNAcentral lists this ribosomal RNA (661 nucleotides) under Hepatozoon canis. Its description in RNAcentral is "bacterial SSU rRNA". It matches the Rfam family "Eukaryotic small subunit ribosomal RNA", at positions 173 to 822 of the family's 1831-position model. The record is from RNAcentral. Lineage: Eukaryota; Apicomplexa; Hepatozoidae.
AGCAAAAAUCUCAACUUUAUUAGAAGAGACGCAUUUAUUAGAUAAAAAGCCAAUGCCUGCUUUUACGGUAUGAAAAUUGGGGAUUUAUAAUAACUUAGCAAAUCGCAUAGUGAAAACAGGCGAUAAAUCAUUCAAGUUUCUGACCUAUCAGCUUUCGACGGUAUGGUAUUGGCUUACCGUGGCAGUGACGGUUAACGGGGGAUUAGGGUUCGAUUCCGGAGAGGGAGCCUGAGAAACGGCUACCACAUCUAAGGAAGGCAGCAGGCGCGCAAAUUACCCAAUUCUAACAGUUUGAGAGAGGUAGUAACAAGAAAUAACAAUACAAGGCAGUUAAAAUGCUUUGUAAUUGGAAUGAUAGAAAUUUAAACCCUUUUUAAAGUAUCAAUUGGAGGGCAAGUCUGGUGCCAGCAGCCGCGGUAAUUCCAGCUCCAAUAGCGUAUAUUAAAAUUGUUGCAGUUAAAAAGCUCGUAGUUGAAGUUCUGCUAAAAGUAACCGGUCUGCUUUGAAUAAAAGUGGUAUCUUGGUAUGUAUUUAGCAAUGAUGUCCUUUGAAGUGUUUUUUUCUUUAUUGUAAUAAAGCAUAUUCAGGACUUUUACUUUGAGAAAAUUAGAGUGUUUCUAGCAGGCCAACGCUUUGAAUACUGCAGCAUGGAAUAAUAAGA